UACGUAGGGCGCAAGCGUUGUCCGGAAUUAUUGGGCGUAAAGAGCUCGUAGGCGGUUUGUCGCGUCUGUCGUGAAAGCUUGGGGCUUAACCCCAAGUCUGCGGUGGAUACGGGCAGACUAGAGGCAGGUAGGGGAGAACGGAAUUCCCGGUGUAGCGGUGAAAUGCGCAGAUAUCAGGAGGAACACCGGUGGCGAAGGCGGGUCUCUGGGCAGUAACUGACGCUGAGGAGCGAAAGCGUGGGGAGCGAACAGG
Molecule: ribosomal RNA, 253 nt
Filed under: uncultured bacterium
Lineage: Bacteria
Description: partial 16S ribosomal RNA
Rfam family: Bacterial small subunit ribosomal RNA
Source: RNAcentral